RNA transcript from Planococcus citri (citrus mealybug), 2337 nucleotides. It is a transcript of the gene named tropomodulin-like, with no coding region annotated. Lineage: Eukaryota; Metazoa; Arthropoda; Insecta; Hemiptera; Pseudococcidae. The record is from RefSeq and is a predicted model, not a curated record. The transcript is spliced from 11 exons.
AGCGCACGCUUACGCAGCUUUUUACCAGAUGGCGGUACUAAAAUACUCGUAUGUUUGCCAUGCAUCUCGUCGACAACAGCAACAACAACUAAAAUAAUAAUAAUAAAAGAGAGAAAAAUUUCCAAACUUUUUUUUACCGUUUCUUGCCCGAGUUCGUCGUGUUAUUUUCAUUGUAAAUUCAUCGUCGAAUAGUCGUCAUGGACGAGCAAAUCGAAUGAAAAUCAUCGUGCGCGAUUCGAAUCGCGAAUUUUCUUUUUUGUGUCUAUAUUUUGCUGUUGUUUUUUUUUUGUUUUUUUGUUUUUAUUAAAUUGUGCGCGUUGAUGGUGUCGCUUUACUUCGAUUUUGAGUUUUCUUUAUUUAAAUAUCUACCGAUUCCUUUGUCGUUUAAUUUCUCGUUGUUGUGUUCACUGGAUGCGACAUUAAUGUUACUCGCGAGUACUCGAUAAUCGAACGCCUAUUUACUUACUACACCUUAGCUGGAGUGCAAAAAUCGCCAAAAUGAGCACCGUCGAAGAAGUGUACGAAGGUGAAAUCACCAGAACAGUCACCAGAAGGACUAGUUUCAAAAUAAAAGAGACAUCAUCCAAGAAAACUACCACUACGAUGACAACGCCGGCCAAAUUAGUCAGCACGAAUUCGACCGAUAUGAAAAAAUACGAAGACAUGGACGUGGAUCAGCUACUAGCCCAGCUGUCUCCCGAAGAAAUUCAAAUCCUAGCUAAAGAAGUCGACCCCGAUGAUAGUUUAUUACCUCCUUCGCAAAGAUGCAGCUACGAAUGUUCCAAAGAACCAACCGGACCUUUGAAUAGGAAGAAAUUAAUCGAACACAUAAACAAACAAGCGUUAGAAACGCCAGACAGACCCGAAGCGAAACCUUACGUAGCCGGUACCGUAAGAGGCAAAAAGUGGGUGCCUCCUCAAAAUGCUAAUCAAAAAGGAGAAAAUGAAAAAAUUGCAAUUGAUCUCGACGACGAAUACGAAGUUGCUUUGAAUAAUGCGUCGCAAGAGGAAAUUAUUGACCUUGCUGCAAUAUUAGGAUUCCAUUCGAUGAUGAAUCAAGACCAGUAUCACGCUUCUUUAUUAAAUAAAGGUCAGCCAGUCGGCUUAGGCUGGGAUGGUAUUACGAAAGCCACGCAGCCGAAAGCUUUCCCGCCGGAACCGCCCAAUAAUACCGAUCCUGACGAAUCGAUAAGACGAGUAAAAGAUGACGAUCAUCAGCUAACCGAUUUAAAUUGGAAUAAUAUAAAAAAUAUUUCGGACGAAAAGUUCGAACAGUUAUUUGCCGCUUUGCCUGGUAAUACGCAUUUAGAAACGUUAAGCCUCAGCAAUACCGGCCUUACGGACCGAACAGCCACCAAAUUGGCCGAUGCUUUGGAGAAAAAUAAUACGCUAAAAGUUGUCAACGUUGAAACAAAUUUUAUCAGCCCUGUUAUAAUUGUUCGUUUGGUCAAAGCAUUGCUCAAACAGAAAGUUAUCGAAGAAUUCAGAGCGUCUAAUCAGAGAUCGCAAGUGCUGGGUAAUAAAAUUGAAAUGGAAAUCACGAAAUUGGUGGAGCAAAAUCCGACGAUACUGAGGUUGGGUUUACAUUUGGAAUACAAUGACGCGCGACACCGAAUCUCAGCCCACCUGCAACGUAAUCUCGAUAGAAUAAGGAAAGACGUACCAUUACGGAGUAGAUUCAGAUUUUUCAAAAUGGUUCCACCGGUUAAAAAAAUUUUCGGAAAAAAAUUUACCUAGAUCCUAUCGCCUUUCGCCUUCGUUACAUAAUUACUACGCCAAAGUCGUAUCGGAUUGUCGUCUUAAUUCGUCCAUCCAACGAAUAGGUCGUUCGCGUCGUAUGGGUCAUUUUGCGCGACAGUUCACUGGCGGUUGGGUUAUUCGUCAUCAUUUUGCCAAAUAGUUAACGGAUUUUUAUGCACCAGCGAGUAUUUUUUAGCCAUACUAUCGCAUAAGACAUUAUAAUGUUUAAUGUAUUACCUAUGAGACAAACGUCAAACGUUUUCUUUAUACCUAUACGGUUCUUUUUUUUUCUUCUUAUUUUUUUUUUCCAAGUAGAGUCUGUUAUUAAUGAAAAAUAUUUUUUCCUUCAUUUUUGUUGUACAUUUUUAAUCAAAAUGCGAAUCGUUUGCACAUUUUAUUUAUACGUACCUAUUUAUUGUAUUUUAUCAUUUUGCCCUUCUUAUUAAUAUCGAUAUAAUUACGCUAACAUCGAGCAUGCUGGCGGCAAGUAAACAAUAGUUGAUGUCCAAUUAAAAGCGAUCACCUUUUGUUUAAACUUUAAUGAUACCUACCUAUUUUAGCUUUAUUAAAUAUAAUUUUUUUCAUUUCUUUUUUGAA